RNAcentral lists this ribosomal RNA (519 nucleotides) under uncultured eukaryote. Its description in RNAcentral is "bacterial SSU rRNA". It matches the Rfam family "Eukaryotic small subunit ribosomal RNA", at positions 1161 to 1700 of the family's 1831-position model. The record is from RNAcentral.
AGGGCACCACCAGGAGUGGAGCCUGCGGCUUAAUUUGACUCAACACGGGAAAUCUCACCAGGCCCGGACACCGGAAGGAUUGACAGAUUGAGAGCUCUUUCUUGAUUCGGUGGGUGGUGGUGCAUGGCCGUUCUUAGUUGGUGGAGCGAUUUGUCUGGUUAAUUCCGAUAACGAGCGAGACUCUGGCCUACUAAAUAGACGUUAGAUCCCUUUGUGGGUCUAUCGCAGCUUCUUAGAGGGACGGGCGGCGUUCAGCCGCACGAGAUUGAGCAAUAACAGGUCUGUGAUGCCCUUAGAUGUCCGGGGCUGCACGCGCGCUACACUGGAGGAAUCAGCGUGCUUGUUCCAUUGCCGAAAGGCAUUGGUAAACCCUUGAAAAUCUUCCGUGAUCGGGAUCGGGAAUUGCAAUUAUUUCCCUUGAACGAGGAAUUCCCAGUAAGUGUGAGUCAUCAGCUCACGUUGAUCACGUCCCUGCCCUUUGUACACACCGCCCGUCGCUGCCCGGGACUGAGCCGUUUC